Polypterus senegalus (gray bichir) is the source of this 219-nucleotide long non-coding RNA. RefSeq lists it as uncharacterized. The transcript is spliced from 3 exons. Lineage: Eukaryota; Metazoa; Chordata; Cladistia; Polypteriformes; Polypteridae. The record is from RefSeq and is a predicted model, not a curated record.
GCAACCCAGAGAGACAGAGGAGGAAGUGCAGCAUCACUUGAUUCAAAGAAUCAUUCAUCUUCCCUGCAGUCUCAAUUUUCCAUCCAUUUUCUUCCUUUAAACUGUCUUGACAAACUAGCUGAGAAGAAUUGCUACAAUCAGCUCUUCAACAUCAUGUACUUCUCUUGCAGCAUGAUUCACCAGCUGAAGCCGGCCUUGAGGAGGACUGCAGCUCGGGAG